RNAcentral lists this ribosomal RNA (301 nucleotides) under uncultured bacterium. RNAcentral describes it as "partial 16S ribosomal RNA". It matches the Rfam family "Bacterial small subunit ribosomal RNA", at positions 509 to 807 of the family's 1533-position model. The record is from RNAcentral.
CAGCAGCCGCGGGAACACGUAGGGCGCAAGCGUUGUCCGGAAUUAUUGGGCGUAAAGAGCUCGUAGGCGGUUUGUCGCGUCUGCUGUGAAAUCCCGAGGCUCAACCUCGGGCUUGCAGUGGGUACGGGCAGACUAGAGUGCGGUAGGGGAGAUUGGAAUUCCUGGUGUAGCGGUGGAAUGCGCAGAUAUCAGGAGGAACACCGAUGGCGAAGGCAGAUCUCUGGGCCGUAACUGACGCUGAGGAGCGAAAGCGUGGGGAGCGAACAGGAUUAGAUACCCCGGUAGUCCCUGUCUCUUAUAC